GACGAACGCUGGCGGCGUGCUUAACACAUGCAAGUCGAACGGAAAGGCCCUGCUUUUGUGGGGUGCUCGAGUGGCGAACGGGUGAGUAACACGUGAGUAACCUGCCCUUGACUUUGGGAUAACUUCAGGAAACUGGGGCUAAUACCGGAUAGGAGCUCCUGCUGCAUGGUGGGGGUUGGAAAGUUUCGGCGGUUGGGGAUGGACUCGCGGCUUAUCAGCUUGUUGGUGGGGUAGUGGCUUACCAAGGCUUUGACGGGUAGCCGGCCUGAGAGGGUGACCGGCCACAUUGGGACUGAGAUACGGCCCAGACUCCUACGGGAGGCAGCAGUGGGGAAUAUUGCACAAUGGGCGGAAGCCUUAUGCAGCAACGCCGCGUGCGGGAUGACGGCCUUCGGGUUGUAAACCGCUUUCGCCUGUGACGAAGCGUGAGUGACGGUAAUGGGUAAAGAAGCACCGGCUAACUGCGUG
RNAcentral lists this ribosomal RNA (468 nucleotides) under uncultured bacterium. RNAcentral's name for it is "partial 16S ribosomal RNA". It matches the Rfam family "Bacterial small subunit ribosomal RNA", at positions 28 to 507 of the family's 1533-position model. The record is from RNAcentral.